Molecule: long non-coding RNA, 1124 nt
Organism: Gadus macrocephalus (Pacific cod)
Lineage: Eukaryota; Metazoa; Chordata; Actinopteri; Gadiformes; Gadidae
Exons: 3
Source: RefSeq, a predicted model, not a curated record
AUCUCAGCUGCAGCGCUACUGUUCGCCCGCUAGAGGGCAGCAGAUCUCAACUGCAGCGCGUCUGUUCGCCCGCUGGGGGGGGAGCAGAUCUCAAUUGCAGUGUGUCUGUUCGCCCGCUAGGGGGCAGCAGAUCUCAGCUUCAGAUAUUUCACUAAAGGGAACAGUCAGAUUUCAGUUGUGAUUCAAUCUAAUUGAGGAGGUUUUGUCUAAUAUGUUGAUGAGAUGAUGAAAUGCACGCUUCUUUUUGGUUGGAAAAUUGCACAGUAUACCGUUGGAUAAACUUUGAUAUCCCGUUAGCCGUGAGAUAAUCUAUAAAGCGGUUCUCUGAAAUUAUUUUUAUUGAAAAAAGUUAUGCUCCCCGUUUUUCUUAUUUUUUCGGUUCAAACCGUAAGUUCUCUUCGAGUUGGUGUGGUGCCCUGCACACGUCAUUCACUACAGAGUUGGAGCUGCGCUCAGUGCGCCUUUACGCACAGGGAGUGUGUCUGGGAGGAUAACGUCGGGAAAGCCCGUUAUUCUAUAGGAGAGGGUGGGGUUUUGGAGCGAGUUCUUCUGCUCCAUUCAGACGACAGAGGUACUCAUAGAGUUUUCGUCGUCGUUCCUCGAGAGAUCCGUCACAAGGACGCGCUCCAUCGCAGCUCUCUGACUUUUUUCGUUGACGUUUGUUUUUUAAUAGAAGGCCUAUAGAAGAUAAUUAUGGCAUUAUUGUUCUUAUAUCCGCUUUGCGUGUGGUUUAGCGUCAUAUGCACAUCGAUGGAAACCGGAUUUAUCUACCAGUACCCCGCUGUGGGUCUCCAACGCGUCACCGCGCAGCAGCGCCCGGUCAGCGGGCCACCGGGAGCCACUCAGAACCAGUACAGGAACUGGUGCCAGUACACAGUCUCCAGGACCGUGAGCUGCCAGGUUCACAACGGGACGGAGACGACCGUCCAGCGGGUGUUCCAGGGCUGCCGCUGGCCCGGGCCGUGUCCCAAGCUCAUCAGUUACAGGACCCUGGUGAGACCGGCCUACAAGGUGGCGUACCGGCAGGUCACCGCCCUGGAGUGGAGGUGCUGCCCCGGCUUCAUAGGGGAGACGUGUCGGGAAGGUAGCGCACGCACACAGGCACACGCACACGCACACACGCA